This 439-nucleotide ribosomal RNA is filed under the name uncultured bacterium. RNAcentral's name for it is "bacterial SSU rRNA". It matches the Rfam family "Bacterial small subunit ribosomal RNA", at positions 954 to 1392 of the family's 1533-position model. The record is from RNAcentral.
GCAAAACGCGAAGAACCUUACCCGGGCUUGAAAUGCAGACGACGAACCGAGAAACCGGUUUUCCAGCAAUGGCGUCUGUGUAGGUGCUGCAUGGUUGUCGUCAGCUCGUGCCGUGAGGUGUCGGCUUAAGUGCCAUAACGAGCGCAACCCCUAUCAUUAGUUACUAACAGGUAACGCUGAGGACUCUAAUGAGACUGCCACCGUAAGGUGUGAGGAAGGUGGGGAUGACGUCAAAUCAGCACGGCCCUUACGUCCGGGGCGACACACGUGUUACAAUGGGGGGUACAGAGGGUUGCUACUUGGUGACAAGAUGCUAAUCUCUUAAAGCCUCUCUCAGUUCGGAUCGGAGUCUGCAACUCGACUCCGUGAAGCUGGAUUCGCUAGUAAUCGCGCAUCAGCCAUGGCGCGGUGAAUACGUUCCCGGGUCUUGUACACACCG